GGGGGUGUAGCUCAGUGGUAGAGCACUUGCUUAGCAUGCACGAGGUCCCGGGUUCAACCCCCAGUAUCUCCA
This 72-nucleotide transfer RNA is filed under the name Camelus dromedarius (Arabian camel). It matches the Rfam family "tRNA". Rfam says of the family: Transfer RNA (tRNA) molecules are approximately 80 nucleotides in length. The record is from Rfam by way of RNAcentral. RNAcentral also lists the same sequence under 1 other name. Lineage: Eukaryota; Metazoa; Chordata; Mammalia; Artiodactyla; Camelidae.